AGGUUGUUGAUUUGUUGAGCCAAUGUUAUGAAUUCAGUAAUACCAUAUAUAUAUUUAUCUGUAAAUAACUUUUUCUAUGGAUAUAUAGUAAGUUUAUCCAUCUACGAAUGAAAAUAAUUAGAAAACAUAUUUUGUACUUUGUUCUGAAUGAAAAGAUGUGAUAUUCAUAGAUGAAGGUAACCUAAUUUUUGAUGGAUUUCUGAAAGAUUUCCGGCGGAUUAUGAAAAAAAUAUUAUUUUGUAGAAAAUUUUAUUUUUUCAAACGGAUACAUAGUGGUUGUAGACUCUGUGGGGAAUUCUCAAUGGAUUUCGACUUAUUUGUCUUUUUAUCGGAAACUCAUCGAAAAUUGCAACAGCUAGCUAACAGAUGGUAUAUUGUUUUCUUGAGAAUUCAUAUGUAAAUUUCCGAUGGAUUUCUUUUGUCAAAUUUUGGCGAAAAAAAAUAAACAGGUUUUU
This 455-nucleotide long non-coding RNA is filed under the name Brassica napus (rape). Its description in RNAcentral is "long non-coding RNA (BNAP_LNC002663)". The record is from RNAcentral. Lineage: Eukaryota; Viridiplantae; Streptophyta; Magnoliopsida; Brassicales; Brassicaceae.